RNAcentral lists this RNase P RNA (325 nucleotides) under Spirochaetales bacterium. Its description in RNAcentral is "RNase P RNA component class A". It matches the Rfam family "Bacterial RNase P class A". Rfam says of the family: Ribonuclease P (RNase P) is a ubiquitous endoribonuclease, found in archaea, bacteria and eukarya as well as chloroplasts and mitochondria. Its best characterised activity is the generation of mature 5'-ends of tRNAs by cleaving the 5'-leader elements of precursor-tRNAs. Cellular RNase Ps are ribonucleoproteins. Lineage: Bacteria; Pseudomonadati; Spirochaetota; Spirochaetia; Spirochaetales. The record is from RNAcentral.
CUGGACAGGAAAAGGUUCGCUCAAAAUCUAUUUUUGAGAGGAAAGUCUGAACUCUUUGGGGAAGGCAGUAGCUAAUGGCUAUUGGAGGGAAACCUCAUGGAAAGUGCCACAGAAAAAAAACAGCCAAUUAAUAGGCUAAGGUGAAAAUGUAAGGUAAAAGCUUACAGAACAAAAUUAUUGUUAAUGGUAAACCCUGCCUUGAGCAAGUGUUGCAUGGAUAAAAAGCCCCCUUCUUUUCCAUGUUUUAACGCAAAAGCUGUAAAGUGAUUUUUAGCUAAGAGAAAUGAACCUAAAAACAGAAUUCAGCUUAUUCCUGUCCAGUAUU